RNAcentral lists this ribosomal RNA (420 nucleotides) under bacterium. Its description in RNAcentral is "partial 16S ribosomal RNA". It matches the Rfam family "Bacterial small subunit ribosomal RNA", at positions 355 to 776 of the family's 1533-position model. The record is from RNAcentral.
UGGGGGAUUUUGCACAAUGGGCGAAAGCCUGAUGCAGCGACGCCGCGUGGGGGAUGAAGGCUUUCGGGUUGUAAACCUCUUUCGCUAUCGAACAAGGCCCGCUUAGGGUGGGUUGAGGGUAGGUGGAGAAGAAGCGCCGGCUAACUACGUGCCAGCAGCCGCGGUAAUACGUAGGGCGCGAGCGUUGUCCGGAAUUAUUGGGCGUAAAGGGCUUGUAGGCGGCUUGUUGCGCCUGCUGUGAAAACGCGGGGCUUAACUUCGCGCGUGCAGUGGGUACGGGCAGGCUUGAGUGUGGUAGGGGUGACUGGAAUUCCAGGUGUAGCGGUGGAAUGCGCAGAUAUCUGGAGGAACACCGAUGGCGAAGGCAGGUCACUGGGCCAUUACUGACGCUGAGGAGCGAAAGCAUGGGUAGCGAACAGG